RNAcentral lists this ribosomal RNA (332 nucleotides) under uncultured Pseudomonadota bacterium. Its description in RNAcentral is "bacterial SSU rRNA". It matches the Rfam family "Bacterial small subunit ribosomal RNA", at positions 29 to 351 of the family's 1533-position model. The record is from RNAcentral. Lineage: Bacteria; Pseudomonadati; Pseudomonadota.
AACGAACGCUGGCGGCAUGCCUAACACAUGCAAGUUGAGCGAGAACCAAGAAGCUUGCUUUUUGGGGACAGCAGCGCACGGGUGAGUAACGCGUGGGUAACGUACCCUAGGGUUGGGAAUAACUCACCGAAAGGUGAGCUAAUACCGAAUAAGUUCCUAAGAGAUGCGUCUUUUAGGAAGAAAGCAGGGCAACCUGCGCCCUUGGAUCGGCCCGCGUUCCAUCAGUUUGUUGGUGGGGUAAUGGCCUACCAAGACUACGACGGAUAGCUGGUCUGAGAGGAUGAUCAGCCACACUGGGACUGAGACACGGCCCAGACUCCUACGGGAGGCAG